GACGAACGCUGGCGGCGUGCUUAACACAUGCAAGUCGAACGGUGAAGCGCCUUCCUUUUUGGUGGGUGUGGAUGAGUGGCGAACGGGUGAGUAACACGUGAGUAACCUGCCCCCUUCUUCUGGAUAACCGCAUGAAAGUGUGGCUAAUACGGGAUAUUCUGGGUCUGUCGCAUGAUGGGUCUGGGAAAGAUAUUGUUUCGGUGGGGGAUGGGCUCGCGGCCUAUCAGCUUGUUGGUGGGGUGAUGGCCUACCAAGGCGGUGACGGGUAGCCGGCCUGAGAGGGUGGACGGUCACACUGGGACUGAGACACGGACACGACUCCUACGGGAGGCAGCAGGGGGGAAUAUGGCACAGGGGGCGCAAGGCUGAUGCAGCGACGCCGCGUGAGUGAUGGAGGCCUGCGGGUUGUGAACCUCUUUCGCCAGUGAAGCAGGCCUGCCUCGUUUGUGGGUGGGUUGACGGUAGCUGGAUAAGAAGCGCCGGCUAACUACGUG
Molecule: ribosomal RNA, 494 nt
Filed under: uncultured bacterium
Lineage: Bacteria
Description: partial 16S ribosomal RNA
Rfam family: Bacterial small subunit ribosomal RNA
Source: RNAcentral